CCUACGGGCGGCUGCCGUGGGGAAUAUUGCACAAUGGGGGAAACCCUGAUGCAGCAACGCCGCGUGAGUGAUGACGGCUUUCGGGAUGUAAAGCUCUGUCUUCAGGGACGAUAAUAACGGUAACCUAGGUGGAAGCCACGGCCAACUACGUGCCAGCAGCCGCGGUAAUACGUAGGUGGCGAGCGUUGUCCGGAUUUACUGGGCGUAAAGGGAGCGUAGGCGGACUUUUAAGUGAGAAGUGAAAUACUCGGGCUCAACUUGGGUGCUGCAUUUGAAACUGUAAGUCUAGAGUGCAGGAGAGGAGAAUGGAAUUCCUAGUGUAGCGGUGAAAUGCGUAGAGAUUAGGAAGAACACCAGUGGCGAAGGCGAUUCUCUGGACUGUAACUGACGCUGAGGCUCGAAAGCGUGGGGAGCAAACAGGAUUAGAUACCCUUGUAGUC
This 440-nucleotide ribosomal RNA is filed under the name uncultured bacterium. RNAcentral describes it as "partial 16S ribosomal RNA". It matches the Rfam family "Bacterial small subunit ribosomal RNA", at positions 338 to 795 of the family's 1533-position model. The record is from RNAcentral.